Molecule: ribosomal RNA, 476 nt
Filed under: uncultured organism
Description: partial 16S ribosomal RNA
Rfam family: Bacterial small subunit ribosomal RNA
Source: RNAcentral
CACUCCUGCGGGAGGCAGCAGUGGGGAAUUUUGGACAAUGGGCGAAAGCCUGAUCCAGCAAUGCCGCGUGAGUGAAGAAGGCCUUCGGGUUGUAAAGCUCUUUGGUCAGGGAAGAAACGGUGAAAGCUAAUAUCUUUUGCUAAUGACGGUACCUGAAGAAUAAGCACCGGCUAACUACGUGCCAGCAGCCGCGGUAAUACGUAGGGUGCAAGCGUUAAUCGGAAUUACUGGGCGUAAAGCGUGCGCAGGCGGUUUUGUAAGUCUGAUGUGAAAUCCCCGGGCUCAACCUGGGAAUUGCAUUGGAGACUGCAAGGCUAGAAUCUGGCAGAGGGGGGUAGAAUUCCACGUGUAGCAGUGAAAUGCGUAGAUAUGUGGAGGAACACCGAUGGCGAAGGCAGCCCCCUGGGUCAAGAUUGACGCUCAUGCACGAAAGCGUGGGGAGCAAACAGGAUUAGAAACCCCGGUAGUCCCAUGAU